AACGAACGCUGGCAGCAUGCCUAACACAUGCAAGUCGAACGAGACCUUCGGGUCUAGUGGCGCACGGGUGCGUAACGCGUGGGAACCUGCCCUUAGGUUCGGAAUAACUCCCCGAAAGGGGUGCUAAUACCGGAUAAUGUCUUCGGACCAAAGAUUUAUCGCCUUUGGAUGGGCCCGCGUUGGAUUAGCUAGUUGGUAGGGUAAAAGCCUACCAAGGCGACGAUCCAUAGCUGGUCUGAGAGGAUGAUCAUCCACACUGGGACUGAGACACGGCCCAGACUCCUACGGGAGGCAGCAGUGGGGAAUAUUGGACAAUGGGCGAAAGCCUGAUCCAGCAAUGCCGCGUGAGUGAUGAAGGCCUUAGGGUUGUAAAGCUCUUUUACCCGGGAUGAUAAUGACAGUACCGGGAGAAUAAGCUCCGGCUAACUCCGUG
This 433-nucleotide ribosomal RNA is filed under the name uncultured bacterium. RNAcentral describes it as "partial 16S ribosomal RNA". It matches the Rfam family "Bacterial small subunit ribosomal RNA", at positions 29 to 507 of the family's 1533-position model. The record is from RNAcentral.